Molecule: ribosomal RNA, 279 nt
Filed under: uncultured bacterium
Lineage: Bacteria
Description: partial 16S ribosomal RNA
Rfam family: Bacterial small subunit ribosomal RNA
Source: RNAcentral
CUUGCUAAGUUUGAUGGCGACCGGCGCACGGGUGAGUAACACGUAUCCAACCUGUCGAUGACUCGGGGAUAGCCUUUCGAAAGAAAGAUUAAUACCCGAGGGCAUAGUUCUUCCGCAUGGUAGAACUAUUAAAGAAUUUCGGUCAUCGAUGGGGAUGCGUUCCAUUAGGUUGUUGGCGGGGUAACGGCCCACCAAGCCUUCGAUGGAUAGGGGUUCUGAGAGGAAGGUCCCCCACAUUGGAACUGAGACACGGUCCAAACUCCUACGGGAGGCAGCAUG